Molecule: ribosomal RNA, 254 nt
Filed under: uncultured bacterium
Lineage: Bacteria
Description: partial 16S ribosomal RNA
Rfam family: Bacterial small subunit ribosomal RNA
Source: RNAcentral
UACGAAGGGGGGCUAGCGUUGUUCGGAAUUACUGGGCGUAAAGCGCGCGCAGGCGGCUCUUCAAGUCAGGGGUGAAAGCCCAGAGCUCAACUCUGGAACUGCCUUUGAGACUGAAGAGCUUGAGUACGGGAGAGGUGAGUGGAAUUCCCAGUGUAGAGGUGAAAUUCGUAGAUAUUGGGAAGAACACCGGUGGCGAAGGCGGCUCACUGGCCCGUUACUGACGCUCAGGCGCGACAGCGUGGGGAUCAAACAGG